This 245-nucleotide long non-coding RNA is filed under the name Athene cunicularia (burrowing owl). RNAcentral's name for it is "lncRNA (ENSACUG00000011401.1)". Lineage: Eukaryota; Metazoa; Chordata; Aves; Strigiformes; Strigidae. The record is from RNAcentral.
CAGGAUUUCUUCAAGAAGAAGGGAAGGAAUGGAUCCAUCCCUAUAUUCUCAGUUCAGCUUUGCUGAGACCCACUUGCAGAGAAGAAUACUCUUAAUCUCUUGUGGAAACAGUGCUGCAAAGGACAGCAAAGGAAAAACUGGACAUCACUGAAGAAGGCAGAUGAGGUACUCUUUCAAAAUGCUCAGCUGUCCUAAAAUUCAACAAGCCAGAAAAAAAAUCACAAUAAAAGCAGAAAACAGUUGCA